CUCAUAUGCUUGUUGAGGACAGAUAAAGUGGAUGUGGGUAUCAAACCCGCCCGCCGUUAUGAUCUUAUGUUCGCCUGCAAUGACAUCGGUGCAGGAACCGACCACUAGGUUGGGGUCCACUCCGUCCAUCACGUCCGGGUUACCUGCCUUGCCAAUACCAACAAUGAUUCCGUCUUUGAUUCCGAUAUCCGCCUUGUAGAUGCCAGACCAGUCGAUAAUCAAAGCGUUGGUGAUGACGGUAUCCAGCGAGUCCUUGUCGGAUCGACCUCCAGCUUGACCCAUGCCUUCUCUGAG
Molecule: small RNA, 294 nt
Filed under: Alternaria alternata
Lineage: Eukaryota; Fungi; Ascomycota; Dothideomycetes; Pleosporales; Pleosporaceae
Description: 5' ureB small RNA
Rfam family: 5' ureB small RNA
Source: Rfam by way of RNAcentral